Molecule: ribosomal RNA, 1119 nt
Filed under: Triticum aestivum (bread wheat)
Lineage: Eukaryota; Viridiplantae; Streptophyta; Magnoliopsida; Poales; Poaceae
Description: partial small subunit ribosomal RNA
Source: RNAcentral
AUGGGGGAGCUGGUGGUCGCCCGGAGGUACUGGUGCCACAUGUGCGCCGCGGCGGUCAGCCCCGUGGCCGCGGACGCCGGGGUGGAGAUCAAGUGCCCGUAUUGCGGCAGCGGCUUCCUCGAGGAGAUGGAGACCGCCCGCAGCAGCGUCGCCGCCGGCACCGCCCACGCCCACGCCAGCGGCACCUACCCUAGCGCCGACAACGCCAUCUCCAUCUGGGCCCCCAUCAUCGACAGCAUGGUCGGCGACCCCGUCCGGCGCCGUCGCAGCAACCGCCGUACUGUGGACGCCGUGGCCGCCGCAGAGGACGAGCUGGACAACGUCGACUUCUCGCGACGCCGGCGGCGCGCCACCGCGUUCCUGCGGCUCCUGCAGGCGAUCCGGGAGCGCCAGCUGCAGCGCCUUGAGUCCGCGGCCGCCCUCGGCAACGGUGGCGGCCUCGAGACAGAGCACUACAGCCCAUUCGGGCGGAGCAUCUUCGCGGCCGCCCCCCUCGGGGAGCACGGCAUGGCGCUGGGGGACUACUUUCUUGGGCCCGGGCUGGACGCCCUGAUGCAGCAGCUGGCCGAGAGCGACGCGGGACGGCAGGGCACGCCGCCGGCAAAGAAGGACGCCGUGGAGGCGCUGCCGACGGUGGAGGUGGUGGGUGGGUGCAACGAGGAGGACGCGGCCAGCUGCGCGGUGUGCCUGGAGGACUACGCGUCCGGCGAGCGCGCCCGGGAGCUGCCCUGCAGGCACAGGUUCCACUCGCAGUGCAUUGUGCCGUGGCUGGAGAUGCACAGCUCCUGCCCGGUCUGCCGGUUCCAGCUGCCGGCGGACGACGACCCAAAGAGCUCAUGCGGCAGCGGCAGUGGGAGUAGCAGCAGCACCACCACCACCUACGUCACCUAUGUCAGUGCUGAGGUGAACGACAAUGUGGAUGGUCAUGGCAACGAGAGUGGAGUUGAGGCAGCGGGCAAUGUGGCCGUGGAGCGCGAAGACGGCGAUGUGGAUGGUGAAGGAAACGUGAGCCGGCUGCCGGCGUCCAUACAGUGGCUCAAUAGCCUCUUCUCCCCGCAGGCUACAUCACCAUCGUCCACUUCCACUUCCGGCGGCAGCUCGCGGCACUUUGAGGACUAA